AACGCAUAUGGCACCUUGCAGCUUGCUGGAAGGUAUGCCUGUUUGAGAAUCAUACACACCUGUGCAUAUUUGAUAUGUUAUAUGUGCGAGUUGGGCCUUCACCAGUGAUCGCCUGCAACCUGCCUGUCGGCGUGUCAGUGACGCAAGUCUACCGCGCAGACAACGUUCUAUAAAUGAUCUCAAAUCAGGCAAGACUACCCGCCGAACUUAA
This 211-nucleotide unclassified non-coding RNA is filed under the name uncultured fungus. Its description in RNAcentral is "partial contains 5.8S ribosomal RNA, internal transcribed spacer 2, and large subunit ribosomal RNA". The record is from RNAcentral. Lineage: Eukaryota; Fungi.